GAAAUGCGAUACUUGGUGUGAAUUGCAGAAUCCCGUGAACCAUCGAGUCUUUGAACGCAAGUUGCGCCCGAAGCCGUUAGGCCGAGGGCACGUCUGCCUGGGCGUCACGCAUCGCGUCGCCCCCUUUCUUGGUCGAGCGGCCGAGCUUGGGGAGCGGAUGGUGGCCUCCCGUGCCCCCUAACUCGGGGUGCGGCUGGCUCAAAUGCGAGUCCCCGGCGGCGGAUGUCACGGCGAGUGGUGGUCGUACCCAGUGUGCAUAUCUCCGCGUCGUGGCCCCGUCGUUCGUGGGCAAAAGACCCUUCGACGAGCUGCAGCAGUGUGGCUCUCCGACCGCGACCCCAGGUCAGGCGGGAUUACCCGCUGAGUUUAA
This 370-nucleotide unclassified non-coding RNA is filed under the name uncultured fungus. RNAcentral's name for it is "sequence contains ITS1". The stretch from base 1 to 107 matches the Rfam family "5.8S ribosomal RNA", at positions 50 to 154 of the family's 154-position model. The record is from RNAcentral. Lineage: Eukaryota; Fungi.